CGCGGAGUAGAGCAGUCCGGUAGCUCGUCGGGCUCAUAACCCGGAGGUCAGGUGGUUCAAAUCCCCUCUCCGCAACCA
Molecule: transfer RNA, 78 nt
Filed under: Clostridia bacterium
Lineage: Bacteria; Bacillati; Bacillota; Clostridia
Description: tRNA-Met
Rfam family: tRNA
About the family: Transfer RNA (tRNA) molecules are approximately 80 nucleotides in length.
Source: RNAcentral